CCUACGGGAGGCAGCAGUGGGGAAUAUUGCGCAAUGGGCGAAAGCCUGACGCAGCGACGCCGCGUGAGGGAUGAAGGUCUUCGGAUCGUAAACCUCUGUCAGCAGGGAAGAACGGUCACUGUGCUAAUCAGCAGUGAAUUGACGGGACCUGCAAAGGAAGCACCGGCUAACUCCGUGCCAGCAGCCGCGGUAAUACGGAGGGUGCGAGCGUGUCUCGGAAGUACUGGGCGUAAAGCGCUCGUAGGCGGUAUGUCAAGUCAAGGGUGAAAUCCCCGCGCGCAACGUGGGAACUGCCUUUGAAACUGGCAAACUGGAGUGUGUGAGAGGAUAGUGGAAUUCCAGGUGUAGGAGUGAAAUCCGUAGAUAUCUGGAGGAACAUCAGUGGCGAAGGCGACUAUCUGGCACAUAACUGACGCUGAGGAGCGAAAGCGUGGGUAGCAAACAGGAUUAGAUACCCUAGUAGUC
This 465-nucleotide ribosomal RNA is filed under the name uncultured bacterium. Its description in RNAcentral is "partial 16S ribosomal RNA". It matches the Rfam family "Bacterial small subunit ribosomal RNA", at positions 338 to 795 of the family's 1533-position model. The record is from RNAcentral.